GUUGUAUGGUUAAGUGACUAAGCGUACACGGUGGAUGCCUGGGCAGUCAGAGGCGAUGAAGGACGUACUAACUUGCGAUAAGCGCAGAUAAGGCAGUAAGAGCCGUUUGAGUCUGCGAUUUCCGAAUGGGGAAACCCAACUGCAUAAGCAGUUACUGUUAACUGAAUACAUAGGUUAACAGAGCAAACCGGGGGAACUGAAACAUCUAAGUACCCCGAGGAGAAGAAAUCAACCGAGAUUCCGGUAGUAGCGGCGAGCGAACCUGGAUUAGCCCUUAAGCACUCGGUGAAGUAGGUGAACAAGCUGGAAAGCUUGGCGAUACAGGGUGAUAGCCCCGUAACCGACGCUUCAUCGAGCGUGAAAUCGAGUAGGGCGGGACACGUGAUAUCCUGUCUGAAUAUGGGGGGACCAUCCUCCAAGGCUAAAUACUCCUGACUGACCGAUAGUGAACCAGUACCGUGAGGGAAAGGCGAAAAGAACCCCUGUGAGGGGAGUGAAAUAGAACCUGAAACCGUGUACGUACAAGCAGUAGGAGCACCUUCGUGGUGUGACUGCGUACCUUUUGUAUAAUGGGUCAGCGACUUAUAUUCAGUGGCAAGGUUAACCGUAUAGGGGAGCCGUAGCGAAAGCGAGUCUUAACUGGGCGCUCAGUCUCUGGAUAUAGACCCGAAACCGGGUGAUCUAGCCAUGGGCAGGUUGAAGGUUGAGUAACAUCAACUGGAGGACCGAACCGACUAAUGUUGAAAAAUUAGCGGAUGACUUGUGGCUAGGGGUGAAAGGCCAAUCAAACUCGGAGAUAGCUGGUUCUCCCCGAAAGCUAUUUAGGUAGCGCCUCGGACGAAUACUACUGGGGGUAGAGCACUGUUAAGGCUAGGGGGUCAUCCCGACUUACCAACCCUUUGCAAACUCCGAAUACCAGUAAGUACUAUCCGGGAGACACACGGCGGGUGCUAACGUCCGUCGUGGAGAGGGAAACAACCCAGACCGCCAGCUAAGGUCCCAAAGUAUUGCUAAGUGGGAAACGAUGUGGGAAGGCUCAGACAGCUAGGAUGUUGGCUUAGAAGCAGCCAUCAUUUAAAGAAAGCGUAAUAGCUCACUAGUCGAGUCGGCCUGCGCGGAAGAUGUAACGGGGCUAAGCAAUACACCGAAGCUGCGGCAAUGUCUUUUAGACAUUGGGUAGGGGAGCGUUCUGUAAGCCGUUGAAGGUGAAUCGUAAGGUUUGCUGGAGGUAUCAGAAGUGCGAAUGCUGACAUGAGUAACGACAAAGGGGGUGAAAAACCUCCUCGCCGGAAGACCAAGGGUUCCUGUCCAACGUUAAUCGGGGCAGGGUGAGUCGACCCCUAAGGUGAGGCCGAAAGGCGUAAUCGAUGGGAAACGGGUUAAUAUUCCCGUACUUCUGACUAUUGCGAUGGGGGGACGGAGAAGGCUAGGUGGGCCAGGCGACGGUUGUCCUGGUUCAAGUGCGUAGGCUUGAGAGUUAGGUAAAUCCGGCUCUCUCUAAGGCUGAGACACGACGUCGAGCUACUACGGUAGUGAAGUCAUUGAUGCCAUGCUUCCAGGAAAAGCCUCUAAGCUUCAGAUAGUCAGGAAUCGUACCCCAAACCGACACAGGUGGUCGGGUAGAGAAUACCAAGGCGCUUGAGAGAACUCGGGUGAAGGAACUAGGCAAAAUGGUACCGUAACUUCGGGAGAAGGUACGCUCUUGAUGGUGAAGUCCCUCGCGGAUGGAGCUGACGAGAGUCGCAGAUACCAGGUGGCUGCAACUGUUUAUUAAAAACACAGCACUGUGCAAAAUCGCAAGAUGACGUAUACGGUGUGACGCCUGCCCGGUGCCGGAAGGUUAAUUGAUGGGGUUAGCGCAAGCGAAGCUCUUGAUCGAAGCCCCGGUAAACGGCGGCCGUAACUAUAACGGUCCUAAGGUAGCGAAAUUCCUUGUCGGGUAAGUUCCGACCUGCACGAAUGGCGUAAUGAUGGCCA
This 1977-nucleotide ribosomal RNA is filed under the name Vibrio cholerae. RNAcentral describes it as "bacterial LSU rRNA". It matches the Rfam family "Bacterial large subunit ribosomal RNA", at positions 1 to 2013 of the family's 2925-position model. Lineage: Bacteria; Pseudomonadati; Pseudomonadota; Gammaproteobacteria; Vibrionales; Vibrionaceae. The record is from RNAcentral.